AUUGUAAUGUAUACUUAUUCAAAAGUAGUAAUUCUUACAGUGUAAUAUCAAGUUUCAAUAGGAACUAGAAAAAAACAUGAAACUAUACACAAAAUAUUCAUGUAAUGAAUGUUCUUGACUUGGAAGAGUAUUUUUUACUAGAUAUUUACUCGUACUAUUAAAUUAUUUAUUGUCACUGCACCAACACCUGAACAUUCUAAGUAACUUUUAUUCUGAAGAAACAGCGCGUUGGAUUUCGCGCAUGCGCCAUUUGACAACGUAAAGCCAGUGAAGCGCCAGAGAAGAAGCGGGAAGAGGGCUCUGAAGCUCUGAAGCAAGAUCUCUGGAUCGCAAUUUUGCUGGAUCGGGUCGAGACGAGAAGAAGUGACAAACAUCAGAUACUGCAGGUUGAGCCAGAGGAGAGUGCCCUGAGGGUGAUGCUGCACUGUUGGUCUAUUUCAGGCAGACCUUUCGGCUAGGAAGAACCAGUGCAGUUGACAGUUGAGAAGGACAGAUUAAAGGGUUUCAAUGGAG
This 513-nucleotide long non-coding RNA is filed under the name Gadus morhua (Atlantic cod). Its description in RNAcentral is "lncRNA (ENSGMOG00000034948.1)". The record is from RNAcentral. Lineage: Eukaryota; Metazoa; Chordata; Actinopteri; Gadiformes; Gadidae.